Cryptomeria japonica (Japanese cedar) is the source of this 1687-nucleotide RNA transcript. It is a transcript of the gene named wax ester synthase/diacylglycerol acyltransferase 6, with no coding region annotated. The transcript has 6 exons. The record is from RefSeq and is a predicted model, not a curated record. NCBI's taxonomy places the organism in Eukaryota, Viridiplantae, Streptophyta, Pinopsida, Cupressales, Cupressaceae.
AUUUCAGAAGCACAGCAGUUGCACGACAUCUUGGUGUUACAGGGUUUUGUUCUAUCAUCUAUGGAAGCAAACUUGGUAAAUGGUAACGACGGCGAGCCAGUGAGUCCCAAUGGUCAAAUUUUAAGUACGUCUCCUCUGUCCUUAUGCGUCCAAGUGAUCUUUGAGCUGGAGCAACCUAUUGAUGUGUUCGGAAUGAAGAAAGCCAUACAGGACAUUCUUCUGCCGUCCAACCUCCGUUUUUGCUGCACAAUGAGCGAGGACAGCCAUGGAGUUCUUCGUUGGGUGAAAACUGAAGUGAACGUGGAUGAUCAUGUGAUUAUUCCACAUUUUCCUCCAAGCCAAACAGAAUAUGAUGAAUUGGUGAAUGAUUAUAUUUGUAACAUACACCUUACUCCCCUUUCUAAGAAUCGGCCCCUGUGGCAGUUCCACUUUGUCAACUACAAUACAAGCAAGGCGAGAGCCACAAUGAUCAUAAAUAUGCACCAUUCUUUAGGCGAUGGUAUUUCUCUCAUGUCGUUAGUCUGUUGCUGUCUCACCAGAGCAGAAGAUCCAGAUCUUCCCCUCACCUUUCCUUAUUCCAAAUCUCUGCCUCACAAACCAUAUUAUUCAUGGUUUUCGGCCAAGUUUAUGUAUUACAUGUUGCGGAGGCUAUUUGUGUUCUUGCUUGUUUUGUGGUACACUGUUUCUGAUUUGAUUAGCACCUCACUGAGAAUGAUGUAUAUGAACGAUAGCAAGAUACCCAUUCGAGGACCUCCUGGGGUGGAGAUGCUGCCUAAAGUUAUGAGCCAUGUCACCUUCCCCAUGGAAGACUUCACAAAGAUAAAGACUUCCAUCGGCGGAACGGUGAAUGAUGUAAUAAUGGGUGUAAUAUUCUACGGUUUUCAACGAUACCUACAAAUUACUCAUUCUCAUGUUGAGAUUUGCAACAAUGGAUAUAUUCAAAAUUAUAAUUGUGAUUGUGACUCCUUAUAACUCGUGAUUUUCGGUGCAGGAGGAAACAGUGGGGAAAUGAAAAAGUCAAGAGUAACAGGGCUUGUUGCAAUCAAUACAAGAGUUUCGUCAGGAUUGAAGGAUAUAAAAGAAAUGACGAAACCUGAAACUGAAACACCGUGGGGAAACCGUUUUGGGCUGUUGCACGUACCCAUGCCCACAGGUAAUGCGGAGAGCCCAUCGGAUUUCGUGCGAAGAGCAAAAAAAAUCUUAGACCGGAAGAAAAUGUCACUUGAAGUGUCCGUUUUCACUCGACUAAUGGGCUACCUGAGUCGACAGGCGUCUGCUAUUUGUAUGUAUAACACUGUGGCAAAGGCAACGCUAACAAUAUCGAAUCUGAUCGGGCCGAUGGAGAAGAUAGCCGUAAAUCAAAUUCCGGUGAAGAACAUGUUUUUCUCAAUAUCCGGUUUGCCUCAGACGCUUGUUUUGACGGUGGUGAGCUACAUGGGAAGCAUAAGGUUGCAAGUGAUUGGUGUGAAAGGUUACGUAAACAGCGAUAGUUUGGCCGACUGUUUUGCUGAGUCCUUUGCAGAGAUCAAGGAGGCCUGUAAUAAUAAUCAAUAGUAUAGUCCUUACGUACUACUUUCAAGAAACGACGUCAUCAAAGUACAAGGUUAUCUUGUCAUGCACUUAAUAUAGACUGCAAAUAUCUUAACAAUUAAUUAACAGGCCGGGCUUGAAGUACACUUUAUUUGAA